RNAcentral lists this small RNA (34 nucleotides) under Arabidopsis thaliana (thale cress). Its description in RNAcentral is "ATSL072690". Lineage: Eukaryota; Viridiplantae; Streptophyta; Magnoliopsida; Brassicales; Brassicaceae. The record is from RNAcentral.
CUAAAGUCUCCAAAAUUCACAAUCCAUUAGCUCA